UAGGGAAUAUUGGGCAAUGGGUGAGAGCCUGACCCAGCCAUGCCGCGUGCCGGAAGACGGCCCUCUGGGUUGUAACCGGCUUUUAUGAGGGAACAAAAGGGUCCUGCGGGACAGAUUGCGUGUACCUUAUGAAUAAGCACCGGCUAACUCCGUGCCAGCAGCCGCGGUAAUACGUAGGGGGCGAGCGUUGCCCGGAAUUAUUGGGCGUAAAGAGCGUGUAGGCGGCCUGGUAAGUCUGCCGUGAAAACCUGGGGCUCAACCCUGGGCGUGCGGUGGAUACUGCUAGGCUAGAGGAUGGUAGAGGCGAGUGGAAUUCCCGGUGUAGCGGUGAAAUGCGCAGAUAUCGGGAGGAACACCAGUAGCGAAGGCGGCUCGCUGGGCCAUUCCUGACGCUGAGACGCGAAAGCGUGGGGAGCAAACAGGAUUAGAUACCCCCGUAGUCC
Molecule: ribosomal RNA, 443 nt
Filed under: uncultured prokaryote
Description: bacterial SSU rRNA
Rfam family: Bacterial small subunit ribosomal RNA
Source: RNAcentral